UUUUCUUACUUAAUUCAGGCCGUUGUUUCUCAUUUCAAAUGUUUUACAUUCGUCAUGACGGGGUGUUUUAUAGCUUAUUAGUUUCAACUUUAUCAGGAUAUUCUCGUCAUCUUUGCUGCAGUUAACUGUUUUGUCAUAAAAAGAAAUCAGGAAAUCUUUCAAUAGACCAAAUUCUUCACCUAAGUAAUAUUAUCAAAUCAAUUGCAUACAUC
This 212-nucleotide long non-coding RNA is filed under the name Mytilus galloprovincialis (Mediterranean mussel). Lineage: Eukaryota; Metazoa; Mollusca; Bivalvia; Mytilida; Mytilidae. The record is from RNAcentral.